AGGCAGGCUUGCGAUUCAGAAAAUGGAGUUCAGUCAAUGGAAUGUUCUCUCAUUUCUGAAUAGCCAUAUUGAGUUGUUUUUGAGCAUCUGCUCAACAUUCUUAGAUAGUGACCACAACCUCACCAUCGUGUCGGGUGUGGUUGUGGUUGCUUCUUCUGUUCCUGUGCUUCCUGGUGGGGAUUCCAUCUUCACCAACCUUCUGGAAAACCAAAAUCUACCAAAAGCGUCAGGGCAGAGCCAAGAGGAGAAGAAAAGGUGGAACAUCAAGUGGUUGGAGAAACUACCAGAGGGAAACAGAGGAGAAAAGGAGGCUAAUUUCUAUUCUGAAAAGGCUCAGGGAAGAAUAGAAGCAGAGGCUGGAGAAAAGGCUGUGGAUGCUGGACAAUCCUGAUGAGAGGGAAAAGCAGGCAGACACCGUGGGCUGAGAGCCUGCUGCCUCACCGCUUCAAAGAUCACAAGCCACCAAGGGCACUCUUCUAGGAGAAAAAACUAACGCUCAAGUUAUGUCGUCUUACCAAGCAGGACACUCUGUAUUUGCUGUCCCAUCUGUGAGGGGAUUUGCAUGGAAACCUCCCCCAGUGCUAAUGGGAGUCGUUCUCCAACGCAGUCCUCUCUGCAUAGAGGACGGGACGGCUGCCACGGGGAUAUGAAGCUCGGGUCAUUUAAUAAAAAAAGCUCUUGGAAUUAGCACUCCCCAGGUUUCAGAGAUCCAUGUAGUGUAAUUUACUUCCACAUUUUCCUCUCAAUCUGAAGUCUGAAUGUGUUAUCUAAGCUUAGAUACAAGGUUAUCCAAGCAGUGACCUUGGUGGGAAUCUGGCUUCCCUGGGUCUUCUGGAAAAAUGGUCAUCCAAUCUUUUCUUCCUGUCCCCCCUUUAUAAGAAUACAGAAAAGCAACUACUUACAGAAAUAAAGCAAUUAUUAUAAAAAAGAAGAAUUUAUUAACAAUAUGGCUUGAAAAUGAACUGAACUAAAUUUUUCCCUCUUCGUAUGAAUUGGAUUUUUUCCUGUAAACAUGUUUAAUUAGAAACACGCAGUGAGAGCAAG
This 1044-nucleotide long non-coding RNA is filed under the name Equus asinus (donkey). RNAcentral's name for it is "lncRNA (ENSEASG00005032544.1)". The record is from RNAcentral. Lineage: Eukaryota; Metazoa; Chordata; Mammalia; Perissodactyla; Equidae.